GUUUGAUCCUGGCUCAGAGCGAACGCUGGCGGCGUGCUUAACACAUGCAAGUCGAACGAGGUCUGUAGCAAUACAGAUACUCGUGGCGAACGGGUGCGUAACACGUGGAUAACCUUCCUUCAGGUGGGGAAUAACCCAGUGAAAAUUGGGCUAAUACCGCAUAACAUGACGAUGCCACAUGGUGUUGUCUUCAAAGGCGCAAGUCGCCAGAAGAGGGAUCCGCGGCCGAUUAGCUAGUUGGCGAGGUAAUGGCUCACCAAGGCAAUGAUCGGUAGCCGGACUGAGAGGUUGGCCGGCCACACUGGAACUGAGACACGGUCCAGACUCCUACGGGAGGCAGCAGUGGGGAAUCUUGCACAAUGGACGAAAGUCUGAUGCAGCAACGCCGCGUGGGGGAUGAAGCUUUUCGGAGUGUAAA
RNAcentral lists this ribosomal RNA (418 nucleotides) under uncultured bacterium. RNAcentral's name for it is "bacterial SSU rRNA". It matches the Rfam family "Bacterial small subunit ribosomal RNA", at positions 11 to 429 of the family's 1533-position model. The record is from RNAcentral.